AACUGGCGCAGCGUGGGGAUAUCGCCAUCGUCGAGAACGGCGGGGCAAAGUGCGCUGGCGUGGUGUAUUCCGGUUCGGUCUGGGUGCCGGGUG
RNAcentral lists this transfer RNA (93 nucleotides) under Citrobacter farmeri. RNAcentral describes it as "tRNA-Leu". The record is from RNAcentral. Lineage: Bacteria; Pseudomonadati; Pseudomonadota; Gammaproteobacteria; Enterobacterales; Enterobacteriaceae.